RNAcentral lists this ribosomal RNA (253 nucleotides) under uncultured bacterium. RNAcentral describes it as "partial 16S ribosomal RNA". It matches the Rfam family "Bacterial small subunit ribosomal RNA", at positions 524 to 776 of the family's 1533-position model. The record is from RNAcentral.
GACGAAGGAUGCAAGCGUUAUCCGGAUUCAUUGGGUUUAAAGGGCGCGUAGGUGGCCUUAUAAGUCAGUGGUGAAAUCUCUGGGCUUAACCCAGAAAUUGCCAUUGAUACUGUAGGGCUUGAGUACAGUUGCUGUGGGCGGAAUAUGACAUGUAGUGGUGAAAUACAUAGAGAUGUCAUAGAACACCGAUUGCGAAGGCAGCUCACAAAACUGUAACUGACACUGAGGCUCGAAAGUGCGGGGAGCAAACAGG